AAUGAACGCUGGCGGCGUGCCUAACACAUGCAAGUCGCACGAGAACGUUUCAGCUUGCUGAGACUAGUAAAGUGGCGCACGGGUGAGUAACGCGUGGGUAAUCUACCUCCGAAUUGGGGAUAACAUUGCGAAAGCGGUGCUAAUACCGAAUAAUAUCAUCAAGACUCCGGUCUUGGAGAUCAAAGGUGGCCUCUACAUGUAAGCUACCGUUUGGAGAUGAGCCCGCGUACCAUUAGCUUGUUGGUAGGGUAAUGGCCUACCAAGGCUUCGAUGGUUAGCUGGUCUGAGAGGAUGAUCAGCCACACUGGAACUGACACACGGUCCAGACUCCUACGGGAGGCAG
Molecule: ribosomal RNA, 343 nt
Filed under: uncultured Pseudomonadota bacterium
Lineage: Bacteria; Pseudomonadati; Pseudomonadota
Description: bacterial SSU rRNA
Rfam family: Bacterial small subunit ribosomal RNA
Source: RNAcentral